UUCUCUGGACCACUUUUGGGACCAAAUCGCCAUGUUUUUCGUUCCUAUGAUACUAGCUGGAUUCGUGUUAUCCCAGAUGGCACGCCAUAUCCACCUUCUUGGGAUUGGAGAAAGAAAGGCGGUGUAACUGCAGUUAAAGAACAAUCAUAUGAUUGUAAUUCAUGUUAUGCACAUUCCGUAGCAGCAGUGAUAGAAUCAUUGUAUGCGAUCAAAUAUCGUCGAUAUAUUUCCAUAUCAGAAUAUGAAAUGCUUGAUUGUGAUCAUAAUAACAAUGGUUGCAAGAAUGGUAGUAUCAAGAACUCGAUGGAACAUGGAAAAUAUUUCGGCUUCACACAAAUGAUGAAUUAUCCUACGUUAUUGGGGAAUAAUUAUUUCUGUCCAUUAUAUAAUAAAAUUUUCAUUAGAAAAUUAUAUCGAAUUGAUCCUGAUCCAAAUUUAAUGGCUUGGUUUGUGGCAAAUGUGGCACCAGUUGCGUCGAAUCUGGCACUUCCGAAACGGCAUGCAUUUUACAAAUCCGGCGUGUUACCGGAUACCUCUGAAUGCCGGACAAUGAAACUGAAUCAUGCAGCGGUAAUAAUUGGAUAUGGUACAGAAAAUGGCAAGAAAUAUUGGUUAAUGAAAAACAGUUGGGGUGAUUGGUGGGGUGAUCAAGGGUUUUUUAAAAUCGAACGAGGCAUCAAUGCGUGCAGAGUUGAAACCUAUGUGGCAUCGGCUGAUUUGUAA
RNAcentral lists this unclassified non-coding RNA (723 nucleotides) under Onchocerca volvulus. RNAcentral's name for it is "misc RNA OVOC11164". The record is from RNAcentral. Lineage: Eukaryota; Metazoa; Nematoda; Chromadorea; Rhabditida; Onchocercidae.